Molecule: long non-coding RNA, 3855 nt
Organism: Carya illinoinensis
Lineage: Eukaryota; Viridiplantae; Streptophyta; Magnoliopsida; Fagales; Juglandaceae
Exons: 2
Source: RefSeq, a predicted model, not a curated record
GGAGGGGUGUGGGAGGAAUAUUUGACCAUGCCAUUAUCAUUUUGUUUCUCUCUUUAAAAGUUACUUUUGAAGAAGACAUUGACUUAAAAAGUCCUGGGGGUUUUGGGAAGAAAGGAGAGGGGUGUUAGAGGAACUAGUAAAGAAUGUUCUGGAUGACCAUUUAUUUUUCUCUGCCAAAAUUUUGAAAUAAGCUGGACAUGAAGCUUUGCAUUUUCAAAAUGAUGCCAAGCCUUCAGAAAUGAAGGCCACGGUUGACACUAUUAUACUUGGUUAAGUUGGGUUUAGCCAUGCUUCCGGUUGGGUAGAAUCUUUGAAAAUGGAGGAAAUAGUUUUAUUAGUGAAUUGGUUUGGGUUCAGCAAUCUUUUUAAUUGUGCAUGUGGUUAAUGUGAGGUAGGGCUUGGUAUUUAAGACAUAAAAAUUUGUUUUAUGUGGAGAAACUUUCACUUUUUGUUAAAGAAUUUAGAACUCUUCUUCCAUCUUUGCCAUAGAACCGAAAGUCUUUUUACUUUUUAAAAUUUUGUCAGGCCAGCCAUGAAGGAGCAGAUGAGUGAUCUUGGUCAGAGCUUGGGAAUGCCUCCAGGUGAAGUAUUUCUAUUUUGGAUGUGUUUCGCACUCCCACGCACCCAGACCUGCAACCAAAGAAAUGAGAAGGCUUGAAGUGUAUAGAUGCCUAAGUCAAAUGUUCUGCUUAAUCUUUACAGUGGAAGUCAUGGGUAAUGUUUGCAUACCUGAUGGAUGACAUCAAUGGGUAUAUAUAGAGUAAGGAGGGGACCUGAUCUCUUAUUUGAAACCAAGUUUGUACGUUAUUUUAGUUUCUCAUCUUUCUGUUUGUCAUUUCCCCCCCUAAAAUAUCAAAAAUAGAAUGAACAAGACUUACGAUCCAGUAUGGUUUGUACUUAUGAUUUUGCAAGUGGUCUUUGGGGCAAUGGCAAUGGGGCGAGAUACAGGGGCCAAGUUCCCCCUUCCCAGAAUUUCCUAGAACAAAAAAACAAAAUGUGUUUUGGCAUGGAGUUUCUAUUUCAUUAUCUUGCCCUUUACCCAUAAGGUCAUGUUCAUUGCGGUCACUGAUCCCCUCAUGGUUUUGAUAAUUCUCAAUUUAGUUGUUUGGGAGGACCAUUAGGGUUGGGAUUUCAGGAAAAAUUGAAUAUUUGACCAUGCCAGUAACAUAUUAUUUCUCUCUCUAAAAAGGACUUUUGAGGAAGAUGUUGACUCAAAAAGGUCAUGGGAGGUUCUUGGAAAGGAAGGAGACGGGGGUGUGUGGGUAGCCCAAGUGGUAAGGGCGAACUUGCGUGCAUGAGUAUUAUGUCAUAGGUUUGAUUUCUCUUUGGAUCAAAUUGCGAUUUAUCUCAAUGAAUCGCAAUGAAAGGUGUCAAGAAAUUCCUCAUCUUUAGUCGAAGUUGCCAAGAAGAGGAUAAUGUGUAAUUUAUCUCAAUGAAAGGUGUCGUGACAAAUGGAUAUUUUACAUUGGCCAAGAAGUAGAAAAUGAUAAAAUCAAUUCUAGUAAUCACAGAAGAUAUUAAGAUUUAAGUGGUUCCACUUGAACAAAGCUUACUUUCAUGGCCAUGAAGUAGAAAAUGAUAAAAUAAAUUCUAGCAAUCACACAAGAUGCUAAUUAAGAUUUAAGUGGUUGCGCUUGAACAAAGCUCACUUUCAUCCACUAAUCAAAAGAUGAAGUAUUAGAGAUCUAGUGGUAACAAAUUAUUUAAACCAAAACCCUAAUACAAGCUUCAAAAUCUCAUUACAGGGAAACUCUCGAUCAGCUAUCUCUCACUCUGCGUAUAUGUUUUGCUCUCUCUAUUGCUUGAUUUCUACCCUUCAGAUGUAUUCCAUUUAUAACGAGAGAUCUAGACCAAUUCUUACUCAUAGGACGCAAGGAGUAGAAGGCUUAUUUUCCACGAGGCAAUCAUUUAUAAAUACCUUCAACUGUAUGUAUUCCUCCUGUGAAAAAAGGAAGUCAAGUCAAUUACCAAAAGGACUUUUUAGGAUCUUGUAAGAAAUAUGGUAUCCAAUAUAUGGAACAACCAAUUCUUUCCUCCAUUUUCAAAGAUUAUGCCUUUACACUAGAGAAAAUAAAUUCUAGCAAUCACACAAGAAGAGGAUCAGUCUGUGUACGUAAUUUAUUUAUUUUUUAUCUCAAUGAAAGGUAAAGCAUGCAAGAACGUCAUUUAUAAGAAACUCAUCAUCUUUCUUUUUAGUUGCCAAGAGGAGGGCUGGCCCUGUGUAAUUUAUUACAUAUCUCAAUGAAAAGUACUGCAAGGAAGUGCCCAAGAAACUCAUCAUCUUUCUUUAUCAAAUGUAUAUCCAUUUUCUAAUGCAAUUUUCAACUUCUGAAUUCCCGAUUUAAGGAGAGUCUUUUAGUAGUAAUCCACCACAGAUAUUUGAACCAAUUUUCAACUGGGCAAGCAAUUUAUGCCGUUAGGAUAUCGUUUUAAUCAUUUAGUGUAUCCUAAUUCCAUUAGUGAAUUGAUAGUAAUAUUUUGGUUGAGGAUUUUGUGUUUUGGCAUUGAGUGUAUCAUGUCCUUGUAUCCAUAGGGGAUGGGCAUGGCAUGCAUAUUCGUUGCGGUCACCAAUUCCCUCUUGGUUUCAUUAUCAUGUCCUUGUACCCAAGGAAGUUUUUGGGUCCGUUCAUUGGUUUGCCUUGUGAAAACUCUAGGUAAUUUUUUCUCUCUUCUCCUUCCCCCGGGGUGGGAUUUUGGAGAAAGUUGAAUUUUCGACCAUAUCAUGAGUACUCUAUAUAUAUCAUUUUAUUUCUCUCUUUAAAAAUGACUUUUGAUCAAGAUGUAUUUGACUCUACAAGUCAUGAUGGGGUUUUUUUUUGGGUAGAAAUGAGAGGGUGUUUGUACGUGGGAACUAGCAAAGAAUGUUAAUCUGGAUGGCCAUUUAUUUUCUCUACCAAAAUAUUAAAUUGGUUAAUUUGGGUUUGGCCAUUGUCAAUUAGAUUAUCUUAUAUAUAGUCGAAAAGGACAUUCACUAUUUAAUAAUUGCCAUUGUGCUUAAUCUAGAUGGUUAGAUCAAAUGUCACAAUCAAAGAAAUAAAAAAUAAGAAGCCAAAACGGGAUUAUGGAUGAUAUAUCAGUACAAUCUCUAGACUUUAAAAGGAGAAAAAGACAGAUUUUAUACGUCUUUCUUACUUUAGCUUUUAGAUUUCCACAUAAAUUUCAAGUGAUGUUUAUCUUUAGACUUUAAUCCAGGAUUAGAACAAUAGUAAAUACUUAUGGAUGAUGUUCAUGUUUAUGAAGUUGAUAUCCUGUUUCAAGAUGAGCUGACUAAUACAGGGAGUGCUUUGUUUUGGAGGGUUUAUAGUCACCAGUUAUAGGAAUGCUUUAUUUGUGAAAUCUUAAAAAACUAUGUAUUUUAAUAAGUGUGUCUUGAGUUUCUCAUGUCUUCUAUAGAAUGUGGUUCAGAAUACUAUGCCCACAAGAACUCUUUUUAAAAAAAUGAGUUUCUCAUGUUUUUUAAAAUUCUUGUUUUAUAAGAAUUUUGCUUUUGAUCUGUGCGAUUGGAUAAUCAUGAUGAUACCAAAAGAGUUGUAACUUACUCUUGUCCUGCUUAAUGAAGAACCAUGCCUGCGCCAAGAGCUUGGAGAGUUACCGUGUGAAACGGUAUCUGUGAAGUCAUCAUUUUCUUUCUUAAUGUCUUAAUUAUUUUUUUCUGCAGAGCAGAGUUCAAUGGUUACUGUGAUGCUUACUGGCUGGGCCGGUGAACUGGCAUGCUUAGAUCGAUAAUUGCUCAUGUUUCAAUAAUGUCAAUAUUGAUGGCAAACUUUUGUCUGACUUGGCUAUAAUACAGAGUCGCUAAGAAGAGUAUCACGCGUAUUUUAUUAUUUAUCUCAAUGAAACUAUGAAAGUACCUCA